Molecule: ribosomal RNA, 497 nt
Filed under: uncultured bacterium
Lineage: Bacteria
Description: partial 16S ribosomal RNA
Rfam family: Bacterial small subunit ribosomal RNA
Source: RNAcentral
GAUGAACGCUGGCGGCGUGCCUAAUACAUGCAAGUCGAGCGAACGGACGAGAAGCUUGCUUCUCUGAUGUUAGCGGCGGACGGGUGAGUCACACGUGGAUAACCUACCUAUAAGACUGGGAUAACUUCGGGAAACCGGAGCUAAUACCGGAUAAUAUUUUGAACCGCAUGGUUCAAAAGUGAUAGACGGUCUUGCUGUCACUUAUAGAUGGAUCCGCGCUGCAUUAGCUAGUUGGUAAGGUAACGGCUUACCAAGGCAACGAUGCAUAGCCGACCUGAGAGGGUGAUCGGCCACACUGGAACUGAGACACGGUCCAGACUCCUACGGGAGGCAGCAGUAGGGAAUCUUCCGCAAUGGGCGAAAGCCUGACGGAGCAACGCCGCGUGAGUGAUGAAGGUCUUCGGAUCGUAAAACUCUGUUAUUAGGGAAGAACAUAUGUGUAAGUAACUGUGCACAUCUUGACGGUACCUAAUCAGAAAGCCACGGCUAACUACGUG